ACGCACGCUGGCGGCGUGCUUCACCCCUGCAAGUCGAACGGAAAGGCCCUGCUUUUGUGGGGUGCUCGAGUGGCGAACGGGUGAGUAACACGUGAGUAACCUGCCCUUGACUUUGGGAUAACUUCAGGAAACUGGGGCUAAUACCGGAUAGGAGCUCCUGCUGCAUGGUGGGGGUUGGAAAGUUUCGGCGGUUGGGGAUGGACUCGCGGCUUAUCAGCUUGUUGGUGGGGUAGUGGCUUACCAAGGCUUUGACGGGUAGCCGGCCUGAGAGGGUGACCGGCCACAUUGGGACUGAGAUACGGCCCAGACUCCUACGGGAGGCAGCAGUGGGGAAUAUUGCACAAUGGGCGGAAGCCUGAUGCAGCAACGCCGUGUGCGGGAUGACGGCCUUCGGGUUGUAAACCGCUUUCGCCUGUGACGAAGCGUGAGUGACGGUAAUGGGUAAAGAAGCACCGGCUAACUACGUG
This 467-nucleotide ribosomal RNA is filed under the name uncultured bacterium. RNAcentral describes it as "partial 16S ribosomal RNA". It matches the Rfam family "Bacterial small subunit ribosomal RNA", at positions 29 to 507 of the family's 1533-position model. The record is from RNAcentral.